GAUGAACGCUAGCGACAGGCUUAACACAUGCAAGUCGAGGGGCAGCGGGGGUGAUGGCUUGCCAUCACCUGCCGGCGACCGGCGCACGGGUGAGUAACACGUAUGCAACCUGCCCGCCACAGGGGGAUAAGCGGAAGAAAUUCCGUCUAAUACCGCGUAACAACCCAUGGAGGCAUCUCCGUGGGUUUAAAGGAAGCGAUUCCGGCUACGGAUGGUCAUGCGUCGCAUUAGCUAGUUGGCGGGGUAACGGCCCACCAAGGCGACGAUGCGUAGGGGUUCUGAGAGGAAGGUCCCCCACACUGGUACUGAGACACGGACCAG
RNAcentral lists this ribosomal RNA (321 nucleotides) under uncultured bacterium. RNAcentral's name for it is "bacterial SSU rRNA". It matches the Rfam family "Bacterial small subunit ribosomal RNA", at positions 28 to 334 of the family's 1533-position model. The record is from RNAcentral.